UUUUGGACAAUGGGCGCAAGCCUGAUCCAGCCAUUCCGCGUGCAGGAUGAAGGCCCUCGGGUUGUAAACUGCUUUUGUACGGAACGAAAAGGUGCCGGUUAAUACCUGGCGCUCAUGACGGUACCUGCAGAAGAAGCCCCGGCCAACUACGUGCCAGCAGCCGCGGUAACACGUAGGGGGCAAGCGUUGUCCGGAUUUAUUGGGCGUAAAGAGCUCGUAGGUGGUUCGGUAAGUCGGGUGUGAAAACUCUGGGCUCAACUCAGAGACGCCACCCGAUACUGCUGUGACUUGAGUCUGGUAGGGGAGUGUGGAAUUCCCAGUGUAGCGGUGAAAUGCGCAGAUAUUGGGAGGAACACCAGUGGCGAAGGCGGCACUCUGGGCCAGUACUGACACUGAGGAGCGAAAGCGUGGGUAGCGAAC
RNAcentral lists this ribosomal RNA (420 nucleotides) under uncultured bacterium. RNAcentral describes it as "bacterial SSU rRNA". It matches the Rfam family "Bacterial small subunit ribosomal RNA", at positions 362 to 773 of the family's 1533-position model. The record is from RNAcentral.